GAUGAACGCUGGCGGCGUGCCUAAUACAUGCAAGUCGAGCGAACAGACGAGGAGCUUGCUCCUCUGACGUUAGCGGCGGACGGGUGAGUAACACGUGGAUAACCUACCUAUAAGACUGGGAUAACUUCGGGAAACCGGAGAUAAUACUGGAGAAUAUAUUCAACCGCAUGGAUCAAUAGUGAAAGACGGUUUUGCUGUCACUUAUAGAUGAUCCGCGCCGCAUUAGCUAGUUGGUAAGGUAACGGCUUACCAAGGCAACGAUGCGUAGCCGACCUGAGAGGGUGAUCGGCCACACUGGAACUGAGACACGGUCCAGACUCCUACGGGAGGCAGCAGUAGGGAAUCUUCCGCAAUGGGCGAAAGCCUGACGGAGCAACGCCGCGUGAGUGAUGAAGGUCUUCGGAUCGUAAAACUCUGUUAUUAGGGAAGAACAAAUGUGUAAGUAACUAUGCACGUCUUGACGGUACCUAAUCAGAAAGCCACGGCUAACUACGUG
This 496-nucleotide ribosomal RNA is filed under the name uncultured bacterium. RNAcentral describes it as "partial 16S ribosomal RNA". It matches the Rfam family "Bacterial small subunit ribosomal RNA", at positions 28 to 507 of the family's 1533-position model. The record is from RNAcentral.